GGUCUAUCUCAAAACUAGAUGCUAUGAUAGGCUUUGAAGAUUUUGGUGGUUCGAGAUGUGUGCCCGUAGGUCUAUGAAAUUCAUAGAUAGACAUGUUUGAAUUCAUGAUAGACCAGAGAUCAAGGAUUAGAUAAGAAGAAAGAAUAGUAGAGAUGAGGCAAAGGAUAAAAGGAAAAAUAUAUAUUUUUUAUUUUUUUUAAAAAUGAUUAAGCUAGUUCGUAGUCAACUCAGCAACCGUUUCCCCGGCAACGGCGCCAAAAAUGCUUGUUGACACUUGCUAACAUUACUUGAAUACUAGGUUGUCAUCCCCAGCAUGGCACUAGAGUGUACUAUGGUAUUUAUAUGUACACAGAUAAAUCUGCAAGCGUACGGAUACCGUUGUAGCUUUUACCCGGUUAAAGGUUUUAUCGUAUCCACAGGGAAACGGGAGAACUGAUCUACGCUCUAACUUAACCUAGAUAGAUAGGUAGGUGUAAAUAGGAAAGAUGGUAGAAUUGAAUAAGAGCAAUAUUACAGGUAAGACAAAAAUGGGUGAUAAUAUGGGAAUAGAGAGUAGAGCAAUCUAGUAUAUGGGCGAUGGUAGGAGAAUAGAGAGGAUAACUAUGGUUUCUCUACUUCAAAGGGGUAUGUCUAUGUCUGGGACGAACCACGUGAUAAGAAUACACCACAAAGUUUGCUUAUCCAUAGGCUGAUAAACCCUACCUGUCCUGCUAACAGAAGGUGGACUACAGGGGACCAAAUUAACUGUCACCUACGCGGCCUACCACACGAUCCAACUAGACAGGGGAUAUCCACAAGUAAUCUAGGUUUAAGCACCACGCUUACACCUAUACUACAACUCUCACCUAUAGCGUCCUAUAGAUUAAAGUACUCAAAAGAGUUGUGAACCAGAACAUACAUGCAUACUAAUUUCAUAAUGAAAUAGAAGUAGAUUACCAGAGUUAUCCCAUGAGCAAGCUUGAUUAGAGCUUGAUCAUGAUGAAGUACAACCGGAGGAAGAACCGACAGGCCGGCAUCUCCUCCAAUCCUCCCUCGCUCUCCAUCUCGCUACUCUCUAGAUCUAUUCUAGUUUAGAGAUGAGAGGAGAGCUCUCAUCUCCAAACUCUAGCUUUUGCUCUGUCUAUGUAGAGGAAAGGUUAUCCUUCGAGGGCACCUCUCAACUCUACAAUGAACUUGUUCUCCUCCAGGGGCCAGGGGGUCUGCUUAUAGAGUCCCCUCAAGUGAAUCUGGGCCGUCGGAUCAAACCGACAUUGAUUGAAUGGUUAUCCUUGAUCCUUUAGGUCGGUGGAACGUAAUCCGCGAGACGGGUCCUGUUUGGACUCUGUAGCUGGGCGGGCGCUCUGCCCUCGAGCUUGCUCGGCUUCCCGUUCGUUCCCGUGGCUUCUGGGGUCUUCUAGAUGAUAGAAAAUUGCGCGGCACGUUAAUAUCUCUAUGUAAACCCGACGUGUGGCCCUUUCCUCCAUAUUUCCUGAUAACCCCCUGCAGAAAUAGAUAAACACCAAAACUCAUGGAAUUCUGUCAGAUAAAUCCCUAAGUCUAGGUGUCGGUUGCAUUUGGAUCCUUUUCUUUAUUUAUUUGAUGAUUAAAUUUGGUACUUAAGGACCGUCAACAGUGGCCGUCCACCAUCGCUACCGCGGUCAUCUACGCCUCCAGCGCGCCGUCCACCAUCGAUCCAGCCCCCUACACGUACUAGACACUCCAACCGAGAUCGAUAUGCAUGGCACUGUAGUGUAUAUAUAUAUAUAUAUAAUAAAUGAAUGCUAUGAAUUAUAUGUCGAGUACUUUGGAAUAUGAUUUUAGUGUUUUGUAUAUAUAUGAUUCUAGUGUUCUCUCUCUAUAUAUAUAAAGUAUAUAUAUAUAUAAUAAUGAAUGCUAGUAUAUUAAGUAUAUAUAUACACUAAAAAAUAAUGCAUGCUAGUAUAUUAUUCUAGUAUUAUUUUUUAGUAUAUUAUUCUAGUAUUACUUUUUAGUAUAUUAUUCUAGUAUGCAUGUAGUCUUUAAUAUAUAUUUUAAUUUCUAGUAUUUUGUAUAUAUUAUUAUUUGUACUAUUAUUCUAGUAUUAUUUUUUAGUAUUAUUUUUUAGUAUAUUAUUCUAGUGUAUUACUUGGCUUAAAAUACUUUUUAGUAUAUUAUUCUAGUAUAUUAUGAAUUAUAGUGUUUUGAAUUGUUAUGAAAUAUAUUGUGCUGGUAUAUUAUUCUAGUAUUACCUUUUAGUAUAUUAUUCUAGUAUAUUAUUAAUUCUAGUGUUUUGUAUAUAUUAUUGUUUGUAAUAUUAUCAUAGUAUUAUUUUUUAGUUUUAUUUUUUUAAUAUAUUAUUCUAGUGUAUUACUUGGCUUAAAAGACUUUUUAGUAUAUUAUUCUAGUAUAUUAUGAAUUGUAGUGUUUUGAAUUGUUACGAAAUAUAUUGUGCUAGUAUAUUAUUCUAGUAUUACUUUUUAGUAUAUUAUUAAUUCUAGUGUUUUGUAUAUAUUUUUGUUUCUACUAUUAUUUUAGUAUUAUUUUUUUAGUAUAUUAUUCUAGUGUAUUACUUGGCUUAAAAGACUUUUUAGUAUAUUAUUCUAGUAUAUUAUGAAUUGUAGUGUUAUUACCAAUGAUAGAUUUAAAACUCUAUUCUUAAUAGUGACACUAAAAAAUGUCAACACUUGGCAAAACAUCUAUGACCUCAGCUGAUCUUAGGGUUGGUGCUCAUGAAGAUGUCUUGUUUCGACCCUAUGACCAACUUCUUCAUAGCCUCGUCAUGGCCUUCACUACAGGAUUCGGAUGUUUUGCCGGGAGCCGUACACUCCCAGCAAAGGCUACUUUGCACUCGGCAAAGCCUUUGCCGGGAGCUGCACCCGGCAAAGAGCCUCCGACAAAAAACCGGCCGGCAA
RNAcentral lists this long non-coding RNA (2870 nucleotides) under Sorghum bicolor (sorghum). RNAcentral describes it as "long non-coding RNA (SBIC_LNC009045)". The record is from RNAcentral. Lineage: Eukaryota; Viridiplantae; Streptophyta; Magnoliopsida; Poales; Poaceae.